GUGGGGAAUCUUGCGCAAUGGGCGAAAGCCUGACGCAGCCAUGCCGCGUGAAUGAUGAAGGUCUUAGGAUUGUAAAAUUCUUUCACCGGGGACGAUAAUGACGGUACCCGGAGAAGAAGCUCCGGCUAACUUCGUGCCAGCAGCCGCGGUAAUACGAAGGGGGCUAGCGUUGCUCGGAAUUACUGGGCGUAAAGGGCGCGUAGGCGGACAGCUUAGUCAGAGGUGAAAGCCCAGGGCUCAACCGUGGAAUUGCCUUUGAUACUGGCUGUCUUGAGUUUGGGAGAGGUGAGUGGAACUCCGAGUGUAGAGGUGAAAUUCGUAGAUAUUCGGAAGAACACCAGUGGCGAAGGCGACUCACUGGCCCAAUACUGACGCUGAGGCGCGAAAGCGUGGGGAGCAAACAGGAUUAGAAACCCUAGUAGUCC
This 425-nucleotide ribosomal RNA is filed under the name uncultured bacterium. RNAcentral describes it as "partial 16S ribosomal RNA". It matches the Rfam family "Bacterial small subunit ribosomal RNA", at positions 354 to 796 of the family's 1533-position model. The record is from RNAcentral.